Molecule: long non-coding RNA, 1080 nt
Organism: Panicum virgatum (switchgrass)
Lineage: Eukaryota; Viridiplantae; Streptophyta; Magnoliopsida; Poales; Poaceae
Exons: 3
Source: RefSeq, a predicted model, not a curated record
UCGUUUCUCACAUUCGCCAUUUCUGUCACGAGCGACGCCUAGGGUUCCUGCGGCCACGCCGGAAUCGCCGCCAGGAAUCGUCCAGCGGACGCCGCCGCCGGUCGCCGAAUCGAGACCCGACGCCCUCGAAUAUUUGAUUCCCAUCCGCCGCCCCUGCCCAAAGCCAGCAUCGAGUUGUCUUUGGGCGAGGGGGCCGCGAGCCGCUGUCCGCUCGCCGCCCGUUCCACGAGCACCGCCGGCCUCAAGUUGGACGAGAGCGCCAUCGGCCCUCAAGGUGGGCUGCCUGCGUGCCGCGUUUAGGACGGAUCAGCCAUGGCGGCGGCCGGAUCGAGCAGGCGCACAUGAGGCCGACCACUUCCCAGGCGGCCGGAUCGGCCAUGGCGGUGCAGCGCUGGGGCCAGGCCGAUGUUCUUGGCACCGUUGCCCCUGCGUGAUGGAUCAGGGGCCCUUGCCUCCGUCACCCGCCCCUUCUGGUCUUGCAAGUCGAUGGAGUCUAUGUUAGCUCCCCAAAUGUAGUAGCAGUUCUUGACCAUGCGAGGAAACACUCAUUUGUCAUAAGAGAGGAAGGACUUCCUGACUUUGUUGUGUGGAAUCCGUGGGAAAAGAAAUCAAAGACUAUGGUGGACUUUGCUGAUGAGGAGUACAAGCAGAUGCUUUGUAUUGAUGCGGCCGUGGUGAAGAGAGUGAUCGCCCUGAAAUGAGGAGUGGACAGGGAAACUGGAGCUAUCUGCAGUUUCAUCCACCAGCUGCAGCGAUCAUCCCGUCAGCAUCUAGCGUAUAGUGUGGAAGUUCACAUUUCAUAGUGCUAUAUGGUGUUCGCAUUAUUAGAGAAGUGAGAACCUCCUUUGUACAUCAGUAAUAACUGAUAAGUAGGUGCACGUGCACCUAUGAUCAGUCAGCUGCUCGAAUUGAUCUAGAAUCGGGGCAACGGAAAUUUGUGACCUGGUCUCUAGAAUCUAGUGGUAGUAGUGCCUUGCUUCAGGCAUAAGCAUAAUGCACCCAAAUGGCAAGAUUACGUUUUUGCCUUGUUUUCUCAAGAUUUCUGGUCAUAUAAUGUAGCCAUCAUGAUUUGACUGGACA